GACGAACGCUGGCGGCGUGCUUAACACAUGCAAGUCGAACGGAAAGGCCCUGCUUUUGUGGGGUGCUCGAGUGGCGAACGGGUGAGUAACACGUGAGUAACCUGCCCUUGACUUUGGGAUAACUUCAGGAAACUGGGGCUAAUACCGGAUAGGAGCUCCUGCUGCAUGGUGGGGGUUGGAAAGUUUCGGCGGUUGGGGAUGGACUCGCGGCUUAUCAGCUUGUUGGUGGGGUAGUGGCUUACCAAGGCUUUGACGGGUAGCCGACCUGAGAGGGUGACCGGCCACAUUGGGACUGAAAUACGGCCCAGACUCCUACGGGAGGCAGCAGUGGGGAAUAUUGCACAAUGGGCGGAAGCCUGAUGCAGCAACGCCGCGUGCGGGAUGACGGCCUUCGGGUUGUAAACCGCUUUCGCCUGUGACGAAGCGUGAGUGACGGUAAUGGGUAAAGAAGCACCGGCUAACUACGUG
Molecule: ribosomal RNA, 468 nt
Filed under: uncultured bacterium
Lineage: Bacteria
Description: partial 16S ribosomal RNA
Rfam family: Bacterial small subunit ribosomal RNA
Source: RNAcentral